AUUGAACGCUGGCGGCAUGCUUUACACAUGCAAGUCGAACGGUAACAGGCCGCAAGGUGCUGACGAGUGGCGAACGGGUGAGUAAUGCAUCGGAACGUGCCCAGUCGUGGGGGAUAACGCAGCGAAAGCUGUGCUAAUACCGCAUACGAUCUAUGGAUGAAAGCGGGGGACCGUAAGGCCUCGCGCGAUUGGAGCGGCCGAUGUCAGAUUAGGUAGUUGGUGGGGUAAAGGCUCACCAAGCCAACGAUCUGUAGCUGGUCUGAGAGGACGACCAGCAACACGGGGGCUGAGACACGGCCCAGACUCCUACGGGAGGCAGCAGUGGGGAAUCUUGGACAAUGGGCGCAAGCCUGAUCCAGCAAUGCCGCGUGCAGGAAGAAGGCCUUCGGGUUGUAAACUGCUUUUGUACGGAACGAAAAGGUUUGGGUUAAUACCCUGGGCCGAUGACGGUACCGUAAGAAUAAGCACCGGCUAACUACGUGCCAGCAGCCGCGGUAA
Molecule: ribosomal RNA, 498 nt
Filed under: uncultured bacterium
Lineage: Bacteria
Description: partial 16S ribosomal RNA
Rfam family: Bacterial small subunit ribosomal RNA
Source: RNAcentral